Molecule: unclassified non-coding RNA, 419 nt
Filed under: Hevea brasiliensis (rubber tree)
Lineage: Eukaryota; Viridiplantae; Streptophyta; Magnoliopsida; Malpighiales; Euphorbiaceae
Source: RNAcentral
GGAAAAUUGGGAACUGAUGCUGUUGCCUCACUGCAAAAGUGUCAAUUGCACCUUACAGAUUCAGAACAACGUGACUUGUCACAAAAGCUUUUAGUUGACCGAGAUAAGUCUGGUGCAUGUUCUCAUUCUCUUCUGAAUGGUAUUGCUGUUGAAGUUCCAUCAUUCAGUCAAUUUGAUGAGCAUGUUGAUAAGGAAUUACAUGGUGCUCAACAAUCUACAGAUUUGUCUUGGAAUAUGAAUGGUGGUGUUAUCCCCAGUCCAAACCCUACCGCCCGCAGAAGUACCUGGUACCGAAAUAGAAGNNNNNNNNNNUUCUACAUCGUUUGGACACCCUGCGCAUGGAUGGUCAGAUGGAAGGGGUGACUUUCUCCAGAACAAUUUUGGUUAUGGAACUAAGAAGCCACGUACACAGGUCUCUU